AUACGGAGGGUGCAAGCGUUAAUCGGAAUUACUGGGCGUAAAGGGUUCGUAGGCGGUUAUUUAAGUCAGAUGUGAAAGCCCCGGGCUCAACCUGGGAAUUGCAUCUGAUACUGGGUAACUAGAGUUUACGAGAGGAGUGUGGAAUUUCCGGUGUAGCGGUGAAAUGCAUAGAGAUCGGAAGGAACAUCAGUGGCGAAGGCGGCACUCUGGCUUAAAACUGACGCUGAGGAACGAAAGCGUGGGUAGCAAACAGAAUUAGAAACCCUAGUAGUCC
This 274-nucleotide ribosomal RNA is filed under the name uncultured bacterium. Its description in RNAcentral is "partial 16S ribosomal RNA". It matches the Rfam family "Bacterial small subunit ribosomal RNA", at positions 523 to 796 of the family's 1533-position model. The record is from RNAcentral.